GUCUAUGGCCAUGCCACCCUGAACAAACUGGAUCCUGUCUGAUUUCAGAAGUUAAGCAGGGUUGGGCCUGGUUAGUACUUGGAUGGGAGACCACCUAGGAACACCAGGUGCUGUAGGCA
Molecule: ribosomal RNA, 119 nt
Filed under: Pteropus alecto (black flying fox)
Lineage: Eukaryota; Metazoa; Chordata; Mammalia; Chiroptera; Pteropodidae
Also listed under: 1 other name
Source: RNAcentral